GGAAACUUCUUUUCCUCCUUCCACAAUCUAGUAGAAUACUUCUCAUUUAAGAAUGAAAGUUCAGAAUGUAAAAGAAAAAAUGAGUCAGAUGAACAAGAAGAAAAGGUAAAAUGACUUCUGUUGACACACAGAAGUAGGCGGACCCAGGCAAGGGGUUUGAUGUGUUCCUGCAAAAAGAAUCAGAGAGCGAUAAGGGCGAAUGGAAGAGCAGGACUAGGCAACAUAACAGUGGAGGUCUGCGGCCACCUGACCAGGAAGACAAAGUGGAUGAGACUUUCUGCUUGGAGCAGAUAGGGACAACCCCAUCAUCUUCGUGAGCACUGGUCCUCAUGGGGGACUUCAACCACCCCAGUAUCUGUUGGAGGGACAACACAGCAGGGCAGAAGCAAUCCAGGAGGUUCAUGGUGUGCUUUAAUGAUCACUUCCUUCUCCAAGUAACAGAGGAGACAAUGAAGAGAGGUGCCACGACUGUAUCUUGUUCUCAUUAGCAAAGAGGGUUUGCUGGGGAACGUGAAGGUCAAAGGCAUCCUUAGCUUGCAGUGCACAUGACAUGGUGGAUUUCAAGAUCCUUAGGGCAGCAAGGGGAAUGGAUAGCAAGCUUACAACCCUGACAUUCAGGAGAGGAAAUUUGACCUUUUGAAAGAUCUACUUGGUACAGUCCCAUGGGAUGAGGUUCUACAGGGAAGAGGGAC
Gallus gallus (chicken) is the source of this 692-nucleotide long non-coding RNA. The record is from Ensembl. Lineage: Eukaryota; Metazoa; Chordata; Aves; Galliformes; Phasianidae.